CAUGCAAGUCGAACGAUGAUGCCCAGCUUGCUGGGCGGAUUAGUGGCGAACGGGUGAGUAAUACGUGAGUAACCUGCCCUUGACUCUGGGAUAAGCCUGGGAAACUGGGUCUAAUACUGGAUACUACCUCUUACCGCAUGGUGGGUGGUGGAAAGGGUUUUACUGGUUUUGGAUGGGCUCACGGCCUAUCAGCUUGUUGGUGGGGUAAUGGCUCACCAAGGCGACGACGGGUAGCCGGCCUGAGAGGGUGACCGGCCACACUGGGACUGAGACACGGCCCAGACUCCUACGGGAGGCAGCAGUGGGGAAUAUUGCACAAUGGGCGGAAGCCUGAUGCAGCGACGCCGCGUGAGGGAUGACGGCCUUCGGGUUGUAAACCUCUUUCAGUAGGGAAGAAGCGAGAGUGACGGUACCUGCAGAAGAAGCGCCGGCUAACUACGUGCCAGCAGCCGCGGUAAUACGUAGGGCGCAAGCGUUGUCCGGAAUUAUUGGGCGUAAAGAGCUCGUAGGCGGUUUGUCGCGUCUGCUGUGAAAGCCCGGGGCUCAACCCCGGGUCUGCAGUGGGUACGGGCAGACUAGAGUGCAGUAGGGGAGACUGGAAUUCCUGGUGUAGCGGUGAAAUGCGCAGAUAUCAGGAGGAACACCGAUGGCGAAGGCAGGUCUCUGGGCUGUUACUGACGCUGAGGAGCGAAAGCAUGGGGAGCGAACAGGAUUAGAUACCCUGGUAGUCCAUGCCGUAAACGUUGGGCACUAGGUGUGGGGGACAUUCCACGUUUUCCGCGCCGUAGCUAACGCAUUAAGUGCCCCGCCUGGGGAGUACGGCCGCAAGGCUAAAACUCAAAGGAAUUGACGGGGGCCCGCACAAGCGGCGGAGCAUGCGGAUUAAUUCGAUGCAACGCGAAGAACCUUACCAAGGCUUGACAUUCACCGGACCGCCCCAGAGAUGGGGUUUCCCUUCGGGGCUGGUGGACAGGUGGUGCAUGGUUGUCGUCAGCUCGUGUCGUGAGAUGUUGGGUUAAGUCCCGCAACGAGCGCAACCCUCGUUCUAUGUUGCCAGCACGUGAUGGUGGGGACUCAUAGGAGACUGCCGGGGUCAACUCGGAGGAAGGUGGGGAUGACGUCAAAUCAUCAUGCCCCUUAUGUCUUGGGCUUCACGCAUGCUACAAUGGCCGGUACAAAGGGUUGCGAUACUGUGAGGUGGAGCUAAUCCCAAAAAGCCGGUCUCAGUUCGGAUUGAGGUCUGCAACUCGACCUCAUGAAGUCGGAGUCGCUAGUAAUCGCAGAUCAGCAACGCUGCGGUGAAUACGUUCCCGGGCCUUGUACACACCGCCCGUCAAGUCACGAAAGUUGGUAACACCCGAAGCCGGUGGCCUAACCCCUUGUGGGAGGAGCCGU
Molecule: ribosomal RNA, 1395 nt
Filed under: Kocuria sp. IRT24
Lineage: Bacteria; Bacillati; Actinomycetota; Actinomycetes; Micrococcales; Micrococcaceae
Description: 16S ribosomal RNA
Rfam family: Bacterial small subunit ribosomal RNA
Source: RNAcentral